AGUGAACGCUGGCGGUAGGCUUAACACAUGCAAGUCGAACGGCAGCACAGUAAGAGCUUGCUCUUCCGGGUGGCGAGUGGCGGACGGGUGAGGAAUACAUCGGAACCUACUUUUUCGUGGGGGAUAACGAAGGGAAACUUACGAUAAUACCGCAUACGACCUACGGGUGAAAGCAGGGGAUAUUCGGUCCUUGCGCGAUUGAAUGAGCCGAUGUCGGGUUAGCUAGUUGGCGGGGUAAAGACCCACCAAGUCGACGAUCCGUAGCUGGUCUGAGAGGAUGGUCGGCGACACUGGAAGUGGGACACGGUCCAGACUCCUACGGUAAGCAGCAGUGGGGUAUAUUGGGCAAUAGGCGCAAGCCUGAUCCAGCCAUACCGCGUGGGUUGAGGAGGCCUUGGGGUUGUGAAGCCGUUUUGUUGGGAGAGAAAAGCAUCAGGUUAAGACGCCGCUGUACUGACGGUACCCAAAGAAUAAGCACCGGCUAACUUCGUG
RNAcentral lists this ribosomal RNA (492 nucleotides) under uncultured bacterium. RNAcentral describes it as "partial 16S ribosomal RNA". It matches the Rfam family "Bacterial small subunit ribosomal RNA", at positions 29 to 507 of the family's 1533-position model. The record is from RNAcentral.